CACUCCCUUUUUUCGUUCCCCUUCAUUUACCCCUCCCCUUUGAUCCCUUUCCCUUACUUUCCCUCUUCCCCUUCUUUUUCCCCUUCCCCUUCUUUCACUCACGAAUUCUUACUCUCACAGCUUCCAUUGUCUUCCCCUCAUCGUCCACUCCCCUCGCAACCUACACACCUUCUUCACCAUCUACCUCCUGAUAUUUUUACGUUCCAAAUACUUCACAUGGCCAUCCUUUUCUUCCUCCUCCUCCUCCUCCUCCUCCUCCUCCGUCCGCGCACCUGGCCACAAUUAACAGGUGUUCUGGCCUGGCCCCAACACUUGCUAACGAGGCGCGUGAGAGACAUAACUUAGGAGGCCAUAAAGACUCUUAAGGCCGCUUAUUUCCAGUACCGGCGAGGAAAAGGAGGCUGGAAGGGACGUGGGAAAGAAGGGACUGGAAGGGAAGGUAACAGUGUGGAAAGGGAGGAAGGAAAGGAUGAAAGGAAGUAAAAAGGAUGCUGGAAGGGACGCGGGAAAAGAAGGGGCUGGAAGGGAAGGUAAUAGUGUGGAAAGGGAGGAAGAAGAGGAUGAAAGGAAGUAAUGCCAGGGAGGAAAAGGACGCUGGAAGGGACGGGGGAAAGGGGCUGGAAGGGAAAGUAAUAGUGAGGAAAGGAAGGAAGUAGGGUAUGGAACGGGAGAGGAAAUUGAGUCUAGAAUGGACGAGGAAAGAAGAGACGGAAUGGGAGGUAGUAAGAAGAAGGAGGAAGGAAGAAGAGGAUAGAAAUAAAGUAGUGUUUUCCCUUAAGAACAGGAGAGGGAAAUUGAAAGAGAAAAGGAGAAAAGAAAGGAUUGAAAGAAAGGUUACAGUGAGGAGAGGGAGAAACUAAGGAAAGAAAGAGGAGGAGGAAAAAGGGAAUAGAGAGGACGAAGAGGGAGAAAGAAAAGAGAAAAAAUACAAAUCAACACAACUACUCUCGUCUUAAAGGAGAAAAGGGAUAAAAAUGAAGGCAAAAGAGAUGGAAAAAGAGAACAAAAGGGAACUCAACCUUACUACCCGCUCGGAAAAGAAAGGAAGGAAAAGGAGAUAGACAAAGAAAAGGGAAAAAAAGAUGAGCCAUAAAUCUACUGCCCUAGUGAAGAUGGAAAAAAAGGGAAGGAAGGAAACGGAAAAAAAAACAUUCCUACUUCUGUUGUGUGAAAAAGAAAGGCGGGGUGGAACGAAGGAGUGGAUAUAAAAGUGAAUAAUUAGAGAUACUGGAUAAAUAAUGAACAAGGAGAGGUCGAAAGAUAAGUAGAGGGAAAAGAAAGAUUAGAAAAAAAGCGAAAGGCGAUAAGAAAGAGGGAAGGUAGAAGAAAGAGGUUAAAAAAAGAAGGAAAUGGAGGUGUGAGGGGAAGGAAAUGUGGUGGCAAGAAGAUUUAUGAUGAUUGUGAGGAGGAGGGAAAACGGAGGAAAGAAAGAAAGGAGGAAAAGAAGAGAAGAGGAACUAACGAAGAAAGAAGAAAAGGAGGAAAGAAAGAGAGGAAGAAGGUGGAGGGAAGGAAAUAGGAAGAAGAGAAGAGAAAUUAACGAAGAAAGAAGAAAAGGAGGAAAGAAAGAGAGGAAGAAGAAGGAGGGAAGGAAAUAGGAAGAAGAGAAGAGAAAUUAACGAAGAAAGAAGAAAAGGAGGAAAGAAAGAGAGGAAGAAGGUGGAGGGAAGGAAAUAGGAAGAAGAGAAGAGAAAUUAACGAAGAAAGAAGAAAAGGAGGAAAGAAAGAAAGGAAGAAGGAGGAGGGAAAUAAAGAGGAAGAAGAGAAAAGAAGAGGGAUUAACGAAGAAAGAAGAAAAGAAGGAAAGAAAGAGAGGAAGAAAAAGGAGGGAAAGAGAGAGGAAGAAGAGAAUAGAAGAGGAAUUAACGAAGAAAGAAGAAAAGGAGGAAAGAAAGAAAGGAAGAAAAAGGAGGGAAAGAGAGAGGAAGAAGAGAACGAAGAAGGAAGGAAAGAGAGGAUGGAAAAAGAAGGAAGGAAGGAAGAUGGAUGAAAAGAGGAGGAAGAAAGGAGGGAGAUGAGCAGAAGUGGAAGAAAGGGGGAGAAAUGAAGGGAGGAGGAAGAAAAAGAGAGGAAAGAAAGGAAGAGGAAGAAAAAGAGAGAGAUAGAGGGAGGAGGAAGAAAAGGAGAUAAAUGAAAGAAAAUAAUGGAAAAGGUAUAAAGGAAAAGGCAGUGAUGAGAGAGAGAGAGAGAGAGAGAGAGAGAGAGAGAGAGAGAGAGGAAUGUAGUAAACAAUGUCAAGAAUAAUGGUUUCAUCUCAAAUGCUAUCCCUUAUCCCCUUAUUCCUCCCUCUCCUCCUCCUCCUCCUCCUCCUUCCUUGCUAUCUGUCACGUUCCCUUCAUCCUGUUUUUCUCUCCUUCCUUCAUUCCAUCUUCCUUUCCUUUUUUUUUUCACUUUUUUUCCUUCACUUCUUCCUCUCUUUCUUUCCAUCUCUUAUUUAUAAACAAACUAGUAAAGAAAGUGAUAGAGAUAGAUAGAGUAAUGAUAAGAAGAUGAAGGAGAAGAAAAUGAGAGACAGGAAACUAUAAGAAUGCUAUAGUAAAAAUAAUGUGUGUAGAUUGGUGGAAAAGGAAAAGGAUGGGGAAAAGGAGAAGGAAAAGAGAAGAAGAAGGAGAAGAUAAGUUUAGUGAGAACGAAAAACUAUAAAAAGAAAGAAAGGAAAAUGUAAGAAUGCUAUAGUAAAAAUAAAAUAGGUGUAGAUGGAAGAGAAAGAGGGAGAAAAAGGAGAAGAAGAAGAAGGAGAAGGAGAAGAUAAGCUUCAUAAGAAGAACGAAAAAGUAUAAAAAGAAAAAAAAUGGGUGUGGAUGGGAGGAAAGGAGGUAUAAAGAGGAGAAAAAGAAGAAGAGAAGGAAAAGAGAAGAUAAGUUUAGUAAGCAUAACGAAAAAGUAAAAAAAAGAAAGAAAACAUAAAAGAAUGCUAAAGUAAAAAAAAAAUGUAGAUGGGAGGGAAAGAAGGAGAAGAAGGAAAAAAGAAGAAGAUAAGUUUAGUAAGAAAAACGAAAAAAUAUAAAAAGAAAGAAAAAAAAUAAAAGAAUGCUAAAGUGAAAAAAAAAAGAUGUAGAUGGGAACAAAAGAAGGAGAAAGAGGAGUUAAAGAAGAAGAAGGAGAAGAGAAGAAGAAGAUGAUAAGCUUAGUAAGAAGGACGAAAAAGUGUAAAAAAGAAAGAAAGGAAAAUUUAGGAAAGCUAUGGUGAUUAAAGGAAGGAGGAAGAAAGGGGAAGGAAGAAUAAAGAAGAAGAAGGAGAAGAAGGGAGAAGAUAAGCUUUAGUAAGACGCCCAUCGAUAGAAUUAUUGAUCUUUAUUUAUCAAUAUCUAUAUAUAUCCUUCCAUCCAUCUUUUUCGUGUACCUCUCUAUCUAUCUACCAAGCUGUGUGUCUGUUUGUCUGUCUAUCUAUGUAUCUAUCUCUAUCUAUUUGCUUCUUCUAUUCACUAUAAAUCUGUCUGUCAAUUUAUAUCUCUGUUCUCUUAAAGUUAAUAUCUAUCUAUCAGUGUGUGUCUGUCUAUUUCUUCCUCUUACUCUUUUUUCAUCCAUUUCCUUUUCUCCCUCUUUCAUUCCUUUCCUUUUAUUAUUCCUCCUUCUCUCAUUCCUCUUUUUCUCUUCCUCUCUUCUUCCUCCUCUCAUCUCUCUCCCUCUCUUUCAUACAAACAACAUACGUCUAUCUAUUUAUAUAUUUGACUCUUUUAUACACUGCCAGUCUGCUCAUUAAUAUACAAAUCGGUUCUCUUAAACUUGAUCUCUAUCUAGUAAUGUGUCGAUUUAUCUGUCUAACUAUUUAUUUAUCUACUUUGCGUCAUCUGUUCACCAUAAAUCUAACCGUCAGUCAAGCUAUACCUCUGUACUCUUAAACUUAAUAUUGACACCCAUAAAAAAGGAAAAGAAGAUAAAGAAAACGAAAUGAAAGAAAAAAAACGAGUAUAAUUGCAAUAAAACUUCGAAAGGAGAUGAGCGAAAGGAGGAAGAGAAGAAAAUAAUAAUAAUAAUAAUAAUAAUAAUAAUAAUGUGAAGAGAAAUUUAAAAUGCAGACGAAAUAAUGACAUGAAAAAUAAAUAAAUAGAAAGAAAAAGGAAUAAAGAGAGAGAAAAAAGAGAGAAAGAGGAAAAGGCGGAGGAAAGAGAAAUAGCUACCGGAGAGAGAGAGAGAGAGAGAGAGAGAGAGAGAGAGAGAGAGAGAGAGAGAGAGAGAGAGAGAGA
This is a long non-coding RNA of Eriocheir sinensis (Chinese mitten crab), 4187 nucleotides long. RefSeq lists it as uncharacterized. The transcript is spliced from 2 exons. NCBI's taxonomy places the organism in Eukaryota, Metazoa, Arthropoda, Malacostraca, Decapoda, Varunidae. The record is from RefSeq and is a predicted model, not a curated record.